UGAGCAACCUGCCUCUGGCUUCGGGAUAACUCCGGGAAACCGGGGCUAAUACCGGAUGUGACAUGCCCGCGCAUGGGGGUGUGUGGAAAGUUUUUCGGCCAGGGAUGGGCUCGCGGCCUAUCAGCUUGUUGGUGGGGUGAUGGCCCACCAAGGCGACGACGGGUAGCCGGCCUGAGAGGGUGACCGGCCACACUGGGACUGAGACACGGCCCAGACUCCUACGGGAGGCA
This 230-nucleotide ribosomal RNA is filed under the name uncultured bacterium. RNAcentral describes it as "partial 16S ribosomal RNA". It matches the Rfam family "Bacterial small subunit ribosomal RNA", at positions 118 to 350 of the family's 1533-position model. The record is from RNAcentral.